UAUGGUGUUAUAAAUAACGGACCAUUUGCCACCAGCCUACGUACAGAAAAACCUGCACACAGACGUAAUCCUAUCCCCGUUCAGGGAUAACCGCGGUCAGACAGGAAGGAAGAGAUAGGAGGGGGGUGGGAGUCCACCAGACAUGUGAGUGUGAUCAGAGAAGUCAGAGGAAUCUAUUCAAGCCGUUCCCCGAGGCUCCCUCUAGAUGUGAUGCAGGAAAAAGAGUAAAGAAAGACCCCAAGUCACCUAUAAGAACACCCCUCCUCCUUCCAUUAACCCCUAAGUAACACCAGCUGAACCUGUCCCUCCACAGUCAGAUUGUUCCCAUGUGUUGGGUUUGAGCCUGUGAAUGGUUUGGAUGUUGGUAUUUUAUUUUCAUAAUUUCUGGCUUCGGGUUCUCCUGCAUGUGGUAUGUAGGUUCCGGUUGGUAACAAGCUUACAAGUUUACUCCUCUUUUUCAUAUUGGUUUUUUCUUUCUUUCUUUUUUUUUUUCCUAAGAAGUUUGUUUUUGUCUGGGAUUCCGAGAUGUAGGAUUUGAUGUAGAGCUCCUUGAGAUCCAAAGGAGGGUCUUCGAGGGUUGGAUUUAGCUGCUGAGACAUGGAUUCCACUAUCCUAUCCCAUGGUUUUAUUCUGAUGCCGCCGGUGGGAGAGAGAGUUGUUUUGGGGUUUGGAAUAGGCUUGUGGCUUGCAUGGCCCGGGAGCUGCAUUAACCCUUCCUGAUCUUUGUUUGGAUUGAAGGGAGCUCUACAUCAAAACUCUGUGUUGCCUACCACUCUCUUUCAUCUCUUGUUGUUGGGUCUCCUUGGUUUCCUCUUAUUUCCUGUUGUAUGCCUUUGGUUUUUUCAAGCUUACGGCAUGUGAGAGCCUGUAGAGGAUCAGAUUCCAUGGUAAAUUCCACCUUGGUGCAAGACUUGGCAUUUUAUUCUGGUUGUGUGGGGGGCUGGAGUGAUAUUUAUGCUCACUAUCAUGGAAUCUGGUUGUGUGGGGGGCUGGAGUGAUAUUUAUUCUAGCUACUGGUAUUCUUGGUGGUGGAGCUGCCUAUUUUCCGAUGGAAUUGCAGGUGGGAUCAAUGGUGCACCUUGAAGACGCUAGCCAGGCUAAGGGGCUAAAACAAGGGAUACGUAGGCUAUGGGACGACAUUUGUUCUACUGUUUUUAGUUUUACUUAUUUGUUUUGUUAUGCUGGAAAAACAUUUAAGUUGUGACUUAAGAUUGAGAUCGAUCUCCUUGGAUCUUUUUUUUUAUCUUUUUAUUUUUUUUUCUCUAAUACAUGGAAUUGGGUUUUUGUAAGGCAAGAUCUUCUGGAAUGCUUUACGGUA
This is a long non-coding RNA of Elaeis guineensis (African oil palm), 1318 nucleotides long. RefSeq lists it as uncharacterized. NCBI's taxonomy places the organism in Eukaryota, Viridiplantae, Streptophyta, Magnoliopsida, Arecales, Arecaceae. The record is from RefSeq and is a predicted model, not a curated record.